Molecule: non-coding RNA, 23 nt
Filed under: Cricetulus griseus (Chinese hamster)
Lineage: Eukaryota; Metazoa; Chordata; Mammalia; Rodentia; Cricetidae
Source: RNAcentral
AGCGGUCUGAGGCUGACCUAGGU